AGAAGCUGUGUUUAUUGAUAAGAUCCACUACUUGGAGGUGCUCAGCUCUUCAGAAUUUUUUCUUAUCUGGAAGCAGCACACAGUUUUCCCACGGCGCUUCAAAUUCUGCACUGCUCGCAGCGUUAAAGCAACAUCUGCAGCGUGGCUGAGCGGAGCUGGCUGGCUGGUGCGGUCUGUUGGGACCUUUGAGGGGUAGAAGGACACAUAAGUACCACAUCCGUUGCUCAAUGGCAGAUUACCUUUAGAUUACCUUUAGAUUACCUUUAGAUUACCUUUAGAUUACCUUUUUCCCGUGGUAGGUGUGCUGCAGCUUGAAGCAACUUGCUGUUUGGGGAACCGAUGGGAGGUCGCUCACCUUCACAGCCGUCUCUCUGGCGUGCUGCAAGCCUGUCCCUGGCACACCUCGCCGUAACUCAUGCCGUGCGCUGCCUCGGGUCAAGCAGGGGACUAGCUUGUCGCUGUCUGUACGGGCAGUUACGCAGACGUUUCCAGGUGCUCCUAAUGGAAAGGCAGGUUUGCUUGUGUUGGCCGUUCUGAGUGCCCUGCUGUGGACGAGCUACCUGGAGCAUCUCAAUGCGUUACCCCUCAUGUUAUUUAGUUUUGAAUCUGUUCCUGCCUGGAUACUUUGUCAGGUUUGCUGGGCAAAAGGCUUGUCUCGACAAAGCUGGGAGGUGGUGGGAUGCAAACAGGUCUCCAAGAGUUGCUGGCCAUGCUGGUAUUGAAUGAGUACUGGCAGUGAUUAGGAAUACCAGGAAUUUUUCUAGGCAAGAUGCGCUCCUCAAGAAGGGAAUGAGCUUCCACUGCAUCAUCUUGCUUGUAGGAACGUGUGGGGAAAUGUUGCAGAGCUAUCACCAUAUUACAAAAGGAAAAUGAGCUUCUGGCACUCUGUUUUAAGAAGUGGGAGUAACGGAUUUCAUGAGGAGCUUGUCCUGUCUCAGCGUAACAUGAAUGCCAUGACAGUGCAGAAGUAAAAUAGACUUGAAGCCUCUUCCCACACUGGUAGCAGGGUUUGUGAGCCUGCACCUGCAGAGACACUAGAGGUAGGGCUAGGGACUGCUCUCCAUGAAAAAAGCAUUACUAGCAGUCCAAAGAAUUACCUGUAUAUGUGCCAGCUGGGGGCCUGGUGAACUGCAUGUGAUGGCUUAUUUCCAAAUAGUCUUAUGAUGUUAAAGGAUGUAAACACAGACUACAGAUGGAAUGCAGCUUACAUAAAUGCAUCUUUCCUUUUAAUAAUGAAAUUCCACAGCUCGUGGCAGUUUGCUUUGCAGAACAUCAUCAUACUUUGUAAUGGGUGCUUACGGAGGGCUGGGUAGCAAUAACAAUUGGAAUUUCCUACCAGCAGUGAUCAAAGGAAGCAUUACAAGUGUUGGCAUCCUAACGCUGAAUUAGUUACCUUCAGGGGUCCUUUGUAGAGAUUGGGGCUUGUGCAGUAUUUGCCCCUCUCCCCUCAAUUCCCUGGGAUAAACCAUCUGGCUUCUUCCUUGGCCAGUGUUGCUUCAGAGGCAGAGAAGAGUUUGCUCUCAUUUUGCAAAUUUUUCCAUUAUGGGUGUGACAGUCAAUGAUACAAAUGCCUGUGUAAACUAGGUCCUUUUCAGAAGGGCCUUUACGGUGGAGGAAGGCCUCAGAAGUCUAUGGGAAAUGAAAUAGCAGGAGCAAGAGAACUUGAGUGAUUCCAACAUUCACGUGACAUCCUGUUUGGGACUCCCUGUCUUGACAAUGGUGCAACAACAAUCUCCAAAAUAAUUCUCAUCAGAGAUAAAUUGUAAACACUUGCGUUUGGUGAGCAAAGAAACGGACAGUAGAGAUUUCAUUUAGAGGAGUUUGGUUGUUCAGAGAUGGGAUUUGCCUGGUCUGCCGGUGAGAUCUGCUCAGUUUUCCCGAAGGCAUCCUUUGGAGGAGGCUAUGUCUGCUGUGAGUCGAGAGUUGCAGUCUUGCUCCUACCAGACCAUAAUGCAUCUUGAUACACUUCUAUGAUGAGCACCUGAUUUGAAUAAUAAAAGUUCUAGAUUAUCUUUUCACACCAUGAAUUUAAUAUUUGCGAUUAUAUUUAAGAUAAAAUGACAGCUAGUAGGGCGCCUCCAUGAGUUACCUCUCCAUUGAACUGACUUCUGCCUUUGCGGCUGUUAUUCCAGCUUCCCUCAAGGUAAGCACAGUCUAUGUUUCAAGAAGAGAAGGAUGCUCAGCACGGUGUGGUUUUGACGAUAGACUUUUCCCCCCCACCCUUGCCUUGGCCUCGUGUGCCUGGCGCCUUGGGUUAUAAAGAGCCCACCAUUGCGCGGUCCAUUUCCCACCCCUGCCCACACCCUGCGACUGGUAGGGCUGGUGCCCCCCGCUUGUCGGCGCAGCUUGGCUUCGCUCCCUCCAGGCUCCGGCCACGGGUGCUGCUCUGCAGCCUCCCCGGGCCGGGCUCUUUCUUGACAAGUGUCCGCACUUUUGCAGGGGGUGGUUUGGUGUUUUGAAGUUUGGUUUGCUGGGAUACUAAGGGAUGACAGAACGGACUUUUCCCCUGGCCUCUGUAGCCGUCACUCUCAUCCCCUCAGCCCUCUGGGGUUCGUAAGAACACAGGACACUUUCUCUUCCCAUCAGCUGUAGUUACUGGAUGACCUGUUGUUUCAUGGGAAAAUUCACAGCCCCACAGUGUGUUAGCUCUUUAAUUAAAGAGCAGAGGACAGGAGUGUUCCAUGGUGAUUACCAAUUAGCAGAACCUUGCAAGUGAAGUUUCUUGUCUGCUCUUUGUUUAUUAUUUUAAAAUGUGGCUUCAUGUCUUUUGUGUCUUACAAAAUGCUUGUUUUUUCCAGCCCCGAUUUAGGUGUUAACAAUAAGUAAAAUACUAACCUCAGUGCUGCAUCCUUGCAGUCUGACCCUUCUUGUGUUUGGAUUGAAUCUUUCCGUCCCAUCCUUAAACAGGUCUUCCAGGUUCUAAAACCAUUCUCCCUGCAAAAUUCACAAGAGGAAAUAGGGGUCAAUCCAGUCAAAUAACUUGGUCCAUACUGAUAUUAAGUAGAUUUUAAAUCAAUGGAAGUUUCUGUUGGUGUGCAGUCAGUGAUGUCGUAUGUGCAGUUCAGGCUGCUCUGGAGGCGGUUUGUCAGAAUAGCCCAUCUUUUCAAGACAGAAAUUAAUUUGUUUGAAAACAUCGUCCAAGUUCCAGGAGACUUUGAUAGACAUUGACAGGAAAACUAAAGGAGCAAGGCCUGGGUUUUGUUUUGGUUUUUUUUUUAAACUUAAGAUGCAGUUUGGAUACCACUGAGAUCAACGGGUAUCUGAAUAGGGAAUUCAACUUGGAAAACAUUCGCUCCUUGAGCUGUGAGCUCUGAGGCUGUUUGAAAUAGGAAAAAUGGCGAAGGAGAUGAAGCAGGGUUCUAAUCCAUCAGAGAAUUGCUUUACAAGAGAAAAUUGUGUUUAGAUUUGAAAUCAGAGUAAUAAAAUGUUUCCUCAACACGUUAUGAGUGCUGUCAUUUGACUCUUCAGGGCCUUCAAAGGGCCCGUACUUGGCACGAAUGGAGGCCAAGGGGAAUGCAAACUGAAGUUUUGCUACAAGGGUUUUAUUUGUGGUUUCUUUCUUGAGUGCUGUUGGUAAACACUCAACUACAGAAAAGUCUUUUCUCUGUGUUACCUGCGUACGUCGUGCAUCGUACUUGACGCUCAGAAGCCUACGAGCACUGAUGUUGCAUUUGGAAAAGUCCAUGACUAGUCGAAGUUCCAAUUCUAGAAUCACCAACUACUCCCAAAGAAAAUGAGAUUUGAAGGGGUGCUUACAGACGCAUAGCACGGCCUCUGUGCAGGCACUGUUUUUGCUUCCUCAGGCAUGUCUGCCUCGGGGUGCACUGAAACCCACUGCCCACACCAUCUAUGUGGAAGGACCCAGGGGCCUGUUGGUGGGGAACAAAAGCUUACAGGGGAAAGAAAUAUUUCUGUCAUCAGAAAUAAAUUAUUUCAGCCUGGUCACAUUGGCAGCAGGACGAUGGCAGAGGAAAUGGAGAGCUCCAAGUUGGUGUGGAGGAGGUGUUUCACUGGAGGCCGGACUGUGAAGCACGUGAAAUAUUAGUGCAGAAUUGUUGCCCACAGGUCUUCAGGAUUUGGGACUGCUGUUUUGUAAUGGGACUAAAGUUUCUAACAGUUUUCUCUGUUUAAAUAAGCUUUUAGCUGGUGUGCGUGUGUUCCUUAAGUGAAAUGUAGGUUGCCUUUCUCUUACGCUAAAGACCACUCCCACCACCCCAAAAA
This is a long non-coding RNA of Egretta garzetta (little egret), 4221 nucleotides long. RefSeq lists it as uncharacterized. The transcript is spliced from 2 exons. The record is from RefSeq and is a predicted model, not a curated record. NCBI's taxonomy places the organism in Eukaryota, Metazoa, Chordata, Aves, Pelecaniformes, Ardeidae.